RNAcentral lists this ribosomal RNA (1379 nucleotides) under uncultured prokaryote. RNAcentral's name for it is "partial 16S ribosomal RNA". It matches the Rfam family "Bacterial small subunit ribosomal RNA", at positions 29 to 1397 of the family's 1533-position model. The record is from RNAcentral.
UUGAACGCUGGCGGUAUGCUUAACACAUGCAAGUCGAACGGAAACGAUGGGAGCUUGCUUCCAGGCGUCGAGUGGCGGACGGGUGAGUAACGCGUAGGAAUCUGCCCAGUAGUGGGGGACAACCAGGGGAAACCCUGGCUAAUACCGCAUACACCCUACGGGGAAAAGGAGGCCUCUUCUUGAAAGCUUUCGCUAUUGGAUGAGCCUGCGUGAGAUUAGCUAGUUGGUGAGGUAAGAGCUCACCAAGGCGACGAUCUCUAGCUGGUCUGAGAGGACGAUCAGCCACACUGGGACUGAGACACGGCCCAGACUCCUACGGGAGGCAGCAGUGGGGAAUAUUGGACAAUGGGCGCAAGCCUGAUCCAGCAAUACCGCGUGUGUGAAGAAGGCCUUAGGGUUGUAAAGCACUUUCAGCAGUGAAGAAAUGCUUAAGCUUAAUACGCUUGAGUCUUGACGUUAACUGCACAAGAAGCACCGGCUAACUCCGUGCCAGCAGCCGCGGUAAUACGGGGGGUGCAAGCGUUAAUCGGAUUUACUGGGCGUAAAGCGCGCGUAGGUGGUUUGGCAAGUUGGAUGUGAAAGCCCCGGGCUCAACCUGGAUGUUGCAUCCAAAACUGCUAAGACUAGAGUUAGGAGAGGAAAGUGGAAUUUCUGGUGUAGCGGUGAAAUGCGUAGAUAUCAGAAGGAACAUCAAUGGCGAAGGCAGCUUUCUGGACUAAUACUGACAUUGAGGUACGAAAGCGUGGGUAGCAAACAGGAUUAGAUGCCCUGGUAGUCCACGCCGUAAACGAUGUCAACUAGCCGUUGGGAGGAUUGCCUCUUUGGUGGCGCAGCUAACGAGUUAAGUUAUCCGCCUGGGGAGUACGGCCGCAAGGUUAAAACUCAAAGGAAUUGACGGGGACCCGCACAAGCGGUGGAGCAUGUGGUUUAAUUCGAUGCAACGCGAAGAACCUUACCUGGUCUUGACAUCCUCGGAACUUUCCAGAAAUGGAUUGGUGCCUUCGGGAACCGAGUGACAGGUGCUGCAUGGCUGUCGUCAGCUCGUGUCGUGAGAUGUUGGGUUAAGUCCCGUAACGAGCGCAACCCCUAUUCUUAUUUGCCAGCACAUUAUGGUGGGAACUUUAAGAAGACCGCCGGUGACAAACCGGAGGAAGGUGGGGACGACGUCAAGUCAUCAUGGCCCUUAUGACCAGGGCUACACACGUGCUACAAUGGCCGGUACAGCGGGCUGCUAGCCCGCGAGGGUGUGCUAAUCUCAUAAACCUUUUCGUAGUCCGGAUCGGAGUCUGCAACUCGACUCGGUGAAGUCGGAAUCGCUAGUAAUCGUGGAUCAGAAUGCCACGGUGAAUACGUUCCCGGGUCUUGUACACACCGCCCGU